Molecule: long non-coding RNA, 771 nt
Filed under: Manacus vitellinus (golden-collared manakin)
Lineage: Eukaryota; Metazoa; Chordata; Aves; Passeriformes; Pipridae
Description: lncRNA (ENSMVIG00005015959.1)
Source: RNAcentral
CACAAACUGAACUACAAGAAACUUCAUUUAAACUUGAGAGGGUGUGUAUUGUUUGGGGUUGGUUUUUUUUUGAUUGUGUUGUUGUAAAUGACGAGGGGGACCAAGCACUGGAAGAAACUGCCUGGAGAAGUUGAGUAUCUGUCCCUGGAGGUAUCCAAAACUAAAGUGGACAUGGCCCUGAGCAAUCUGCACUAGUUGACCCUGUCUUGAACUGGGUGAUCCACAGAGAUCCCUUUCAACGUAAACUUGUAUCAUUCUGCGUUUCUUCCACAGUAUUGGAAGUUGAACACCUGCAGUUUGUGACAAGAUGGCAUAAGUGGCUUUUUGAAAACUUUGCAACAAAUGAAUAGUGGCUCUGAAACCUAAACUCGCCUAAAACAUAAUUCCAGGUCUUUUCCUUUUACAGGAUAGAAAUAAGAAGUGUUGCUGUUGACUUUUAUCCAAAACUCUUGAGGAAAAGACUGAUGGGACUUUUGUCUUCUCUGAGAACUGGGAGUCUGGGACUUUGGCUGGUCUGUGCCUGCCCAGGUGAGCCCAGCUGUAUUCCGUUGCCUUUCAGAACUGUGCAGUUACUGUUGGCGUUUGAACAUCAUUUUGACUGUUGAGCUUUCUGCACAAGGGAGCCAGUUUCUUAGAAAAUAGAUAGCUAUGCAGAAGGGCAAGGAAAAUGGAGUGCUUGAUCCUGCUGAUGGCCUAUGUGAGAGAUACUGUGAAGGCUACUACUCUGAUCCCUAUAAAUAAUAAAUAAAAUGUUGAAUAAAAGGUUUUUCA